RNAcentral lists this unclassified non-coding RNA (342 nucleotides) under soil metagenome. RNAcentral's name for it is "partial contains 5.8S ribosomal RNA, internal transcribed spacer 2, and large subunit ribosomal RNA". The stretch from base 1 to 120 matches the Rfam family "5.8S ribosomal RNA", at positions 35 to 154 of the family's 154-position model. The record is from RNAcentral.
GAUGAAGAACGUAGCGAAAUGCGAUAAGUAAUGUGAAUUGCAGAAUUCAGUGAAUCAUCGAAUCUUUGAACGCACAUUGCGCCCUAUGGUAUUCCGUAGGGCAUGCCUGUUCGAGCGUCAUUACAACCCUCAAGCUCUGCUUGGUAUUGGGCGUCGUCCCCUAAACGGACGUGCCUCAAAGACCUCGGCGGUGGCGUCUUUGCCUCAAGCGUAGUAAUAUUUUUAUCUCGCUUUGGAGUCGAAGGCGUCGCCCGCCGGACGAAACCUUUAUUUUUUCUAUCAAGGUUGACCUCGGAUCAGGUAGGGAUACCCGCUGAACUUAAGCAUAUCAUAAGCGGAGGA